GGGCCCGCACAAGCGGUGGAGCAUGUGGUUUAAUUCGAUGAUACGCGAGGAACCUUACCAGGGCUUAAAUGCAGUAUGACAGAUUUGGAAACAGAUUUUUCUUCGGACAUAUUGCAAGGUGCUGCAUGGUUGUCGUCAGCUCGUGCCGUGAGGUGUCAGGUUAAGUCCUAUAACGAGCGCAACCCCUAUUUCUAGUUGCCAGCACAUAAUGGUGGGGACUCUAGAGAGACUGCCGGUGCAAACCGUGAGGAAGGUGGGGAUGACGUCAAAUCAUCACGGCCCUUACGUCCUGGGCUACACACGUGCUACAAUGGUAGGGACAGAGAGCAGCCACUUCGCGAGAAGGAGCGAAUCUACAAACCCUAUCGUAGUCCAGAUUGUCCUCUGCAACUCGAGGGCAUGAAGUUGGAAUCGCUAGUAAUCG
RNAcentral lists this ribosomal RNA (424 nucleotides) under uncultured bacterium. Its description in RNAcentral is "bacterial SSU rRNA". It matches the Rfam family "Bacterial small subunit ribosomal RNA", at positions 917 to 1344 of the family's 1533-position model. The record is from RNAcentral.